Molecule: ribosomal RNA, 375 nt
Filed under: uncultured bacterium
Lineage: Bacteria
Description: bacterial SSU rRNA
Rfam family: Bacterial small subunit ribosomal RNA
Source: RNAcentral
UACGAAUGUGGCAAGCGUUGUUCGGAAUCACUGGGCGUAAAGAAUGCGUAGGCGGCUUGACAAGUCAGAAGUGAAAUCCCAGGGCUCAACCCUGGAACUGCUUUUGAAACUGUUGGGCUAGUGUCCCGGAGGGGUUGAUGGAAUUCCGAGUGUAGAGGUGAAAUUCGCAGAUAUUCGGAGGAACACCAGUGGCGAAAGCGAUCAACUGGACGGGUACAGACGCUGAGGCAUGAAAGUGUGGGGAUCAAACAGGAUUAGAUACCCUGGUAGUCCACACCGUAAACGAUGUGUGCUAGUUCUUGGGCAGCUUAGCUGUUCGGGGACGGAGCUAACGUUUUAAGCACACCGCCUGGGAAGUACGGCCGCAAGGUUAAA